CCUACGGGUGGCAGCAGUAGGGAAUAUUGCUCAAUGGGGGAAACCCUGAAGCAGCAACGCCGCGUGGAGGAUGAAGGUUUUCGGCUUGUAAACUCCUUUUGUUAGAGAAGAUAAUGACGGUAUCUAACGAAUAAGCACCGGCUAACUCCGUGUCAGCAGCCGCGGUAAUACGGAGGGUGCAAGCGUUACUCGGAAUCACUGGGCGGAACGAGCGCGUAGGCGGGAUAGCAAGUCAGAUGUGAAAUCCUAUGGCUUAACCAUAGAACUGCAUUUGAAACUGUUAUUCUAGAGUAUGGGAGAGGUAGGUGGAAGUCGUGGUGGAGCGGUAAAAUCCGUAGAGAUCAAGAGGAAUACUCGUUGCGAAGGCGACCUGCUAGACCAUAACUGACGCUGAUGCGCGAAAGCGUGGGGAGCGAACAGGAUUAGAUACCCGUGUAGUC
This 440-nucleotide ribosomal RNA is filed under the name uncultured bacterium. RNAcentral's name for it is "partial 16S ribosomal RNA". It matches the Rfam family "Bacterial small subunit ribosomal RNA", at positions 338 to 795 of the family's 1533-position model. The record is from RNAcentral.